GUGGGGAAUAUUGCACAAUGGGCGCAAGCCUGAUGCAGCCAUGCCGCGUGUAUGAAGAAGGCCUUCGGGUUGUAAAGUACUUUCAGCGGGGAGGAAGGCGAUAAGGUUAAUAACCUUGUCGAUUGACGUUACCCGCAGAAGAAGCACCGGCUAACUCCGUGCCAGCAGCCGCGGUAAUACGGAGGGUGCAAGCGUUAAUCGGAAUUACUGGGCGUAAAGCGCACGCAGGCGGUCUGUCAAGUCGGAUGUGAAAUCCCCGGGCUCAACCUGGGAACUGCAUUCGAAACUGGCAGGCUAGAGUCUUGUAGAGGGGGGUAGAAUUCCAGGUGUAGCGGUGAAAUGCGUAGAGAUCUGGAGGAAUACCGGUGGCGAAGGCGGCUACCUGGACCGAUAUUGACGCUGAGACGCGAAAGCGUGGGGAGCAAACAGGAUUAGAUACCCUUGUAGUCC
RNAcentral lists this ribosomal RNA (450 nucleotides) under uncultured bacterium. Its description in RNAcentral is "partial 16S ribosomal RNA". It matches the Rfam family "Bacterial small subunit ribosomal RNA", at positions 354 to 796 of the family's 1533-position model. The record is from RNAcentral.